Molecule: long non-coding RNA, 369 nt
Organism: Hibiscus syriacus
Lineage: Eukaryota; Viridiplantae; Streptophyta; Magnoliopsida; Malvales; Malvaceae
Exons: 4
Source: RefSeq, a predicted model, not a curated record
CUUCAGUACAAAGUGAAGGCGAAAUUGAUAUGACAGUUUCUGAGACAGACCGCCAAACUGAUGCGAUUGCAGUUCAACGGGCAUUCACUGCUGCUAAAAAGGACUCUUAAUUCUCAAGUCCAAGGACUCUAUCAUGUGUCAGAGGUAAUAGCAGCAUCGCCCUCUGUGAAUCACGAUGUUGAAUUGCCUAUUGUUCCUCAACUCCACAAGGUUCCAAGAGUACUGCCAUCGAGAGUAGCUGCCAUGUUUAAAGUAUUGUGUCAUUAUGAUUAGCAAAGAUGGAGUCAACCACAUUGCCACAUGUCUCUAAUAUUCCUAUAUAACCGUACCCACGGUAUUUGACAAACAAGGGGCUCAACUACUUGCAGU